UGUUCACUUGUUCUGUUAUCAAAACACAAAGAACAGACUUUUUUCCAAAAGGGAAAAUGUAACAAUGCACUAUCACAAAAUUGGAAAGUAUAUAAUUUUUUUCAAAUAUUCACCUAAUUUUAAACAUUUUCACUAAUUUAACUUAUUCCUGAUAAAGAUGAAGGCAGCUUAAAUUGCUCUGAUGGUAUAUAAAGGAGAAUGGCAUUCUAAUAAAAAGUGUAUCUAAGCAAAUAACUACC
Molecule: long non-coding RNA, 239 nt
Filed under: Bos taurus (domestic cattle)
Lineage: Eukaryota; Metazoa; Chordata; Mammalia; Artiodactyla; Bovidae
Description: long non-coding RNA NONBTAT001251
Source: RNAcentral